Molecule: transfer RNA, 56 nt
Filed under: Diploscapter coronatus
Lineage: Eukaryota; Metazoa; Nematoda; Chromadorea; Rhabditida; Rhabditidae
Description: tRNA-Phe
Source: RNAcentral
ACUCUUUUAGUUUAUUAUUAAAAUUUGAUUUUGAAGUAGUCAAGAAUUUUGGAGUG